GGCGGCCUAGUAUAGUGGUCAGUACAUCAGAUUCUGACGUUGCUGGCAUUCUGAGGAGCCCGGUUCGAUUCCGGGGGUUGCCU
Molecule: transfer RNA, 83 nt
Filed under: Ceraceosorus bombacis
Lineage: Eukaryota; Fungi; Basidiomycota; Exobasidiomycetes; Ceraceosorales; Ceraceosoraceae
Rfam family: tRNA
About the family: Transfer RNA (tRNA) molecules are approximately 80 nucleotides in length.
Source: Rfam by way of RNAcentral